GAUGAACGCUGGCGGCGUGCUUAACACAUGCAAGUCGAACGGAGAGCUAAUGAUUGAGGAUUUGUCCAAAUGAUUUAGUUUCUUAGUGGCGGACGGGUGAGUAACGCGUGAGGAACCUGCCUUGGAGUGUGGAAUAACACAGUGAAAAUUGUGCUAAUACCGCAUAAUGCAGUUGGGUCGCAUGGCUCUGACUGCCAAAGAUUUAUCGCUCUGAGAUGGCCUCGCGUCUGAUUAGAUAGUUGGCGGGGUAACGGCCCACCAAGUCGACGAUCAGUAGCCGGACUGAGAGGUUGACCGGCCACAUUGGGACUGAGACACGGCCCAGACUCCUACGGGAGGCAGCAGUGGGGAAUAUUGCACAAUGGGGGAAACCCUGAUGCAGCGACGCCGCGUGGAGGAAGAAGGUCUUCGGAUUGUAAACUCCUGUUGUUGAGGAAGAUAAUGACGGUACUCAACAAGGAAGUGAC
This 467-nucleotide ribosomal RNA is filed under the name uncultured bacterium. RNAcentral describes it as "bacterial SSU rRNA". It matches the Rfam family "Bacterial small subunit ribosomal RNA", at positions 28 to 494 of the family's 1533-position model. The record is from RNAcentral.